ACGGGAGGCAGCAGUGAGGAAUAUUGGUCAAUGGGCGGAAGCCUGAACCAGCCAAGUAGCGUGCAGGAUGACGGCCCUAUGGGUUGUAAACUGCUUUUAUAUGGGGAUAAAAAAGAGUACGUGUACUUUCUUGCAGGUACCAUAUGAAUAAGGACCGGCUAAUUCCGUGCCAGCAGCCGCGGUAAUACGGAAGGUCCAGGCGUUAUCCGGAUUUAUUGGGUUUAAAGGGUGCGCAGGCGGCACGUUAAGUCAGCGGUGAAAUGUCGGGGCUCAACCCGGGCACUGCCGUUGAAACUGGCGAGCUUGAGUACGGAUGAAGUCGGCGGAAUGUGAUGUGUAGCGGUGAAAUGCUUAGAUAUGUCACAGAACACCGAUUGCGAAGGCAGCUGACUAAUCCGCAACUGACGCUCAGGCACGAAAGCGUGGGGAUCGAACAGGAUUAGAUACCCUGGUA
This 454-nucleotide ribosomal RNA is filed under the name uncultured Prevotella sp. RNAcentral describes it as "partial 16S ribosomal RNA". It matches the Rfam family "Bacterial small subunit ribosomal RNA", at positions 341 to 792 of the family's 1533-position model. Lineage: Bacteria; Pseudomonadati; Bacteroidota; Bacteroidia; Bacteroidales; Prevotellaceae. The record is from RNAcentral.